This 28-nucleotide non-coding RNA is filed under the name Rattus norvegicus (Norway rat). The record is from RNAcentral. Lineage: Eukaryota; Metazoa; Chordata; Mammalia; Rodentia; Muridae.
UAAUUAGCCAGGGAGAUCUCUCUCAUCC